GACAGAGGGUGCGAGCGUUGUUCGGAAUCACUGGGCGUAAAGCGCGCGCAGGCGGGUUCGCAAGUCGGAAGUGAAAUCCCGGGGCUCAACUCCGGGGCUGCUUCCGAAACUGCGAGUCUAGAGACCAGUAGAGGUUGGUAGAAUUCCCGGUGUAGCGGUGGAAUGCGUAGAGAUCGGGAAGAAUACCCGUGGCGAAGGCGGCCAACUGGGCUGGAUCUGACGCUGAGGCGCGAAAGCGUGGGGAGCAAACAGG
Molecule: unclassified non-coding RNA, 253 nt
Filed under: uncultured Gemmatimonadota bacterium
Lineage: Bacteria; Pseudomonadati; Gemmatimonadota
Description: uncultured Gemmatimonadetes bacterium contains 16S-23S intergenic spacer region
Rfam family: Bacterial small subunit ribosomal RNA
Source: RNAcentral